GACGAACGCUGGCGGCGUGCUUAACACAUGCAAGUCGAACGGAAAGGCCCUGCUUUUGUGGGGUGCUCGAGUGGCGAACGGGUGAGUAACACGUGAGUAACCUGCCCUUGACUUUGGGAUAACUUCAGGAAACUGGGGCUAAUACCGGAUAGGAGCUCCUGCUGCAUGGUGGGGGUUGGAAAGUUUCGGCGGUUGGGGAUGGACUCGCGGCUUAUCAGCUUGUUGGUGGGGUAGUGGCUUACCAAGGCUUUGACGGGUAGCCGGCCUGGGAGGGUGACCGGCCACAUUGGGACUGAGAUACGGCCAAGACUCCUACGGGGGGAAGCAGGGGGGAAUAUUGAACAAGGGGCGGAAGCCUGAUGCAGCAACGCCGCGUGCGGGAUGACGGCCUUCGGGUUGUAAACCGCUUUCGCCUGUGACGAAGCGUGAGUGACGGUAAUGGGUAAAGAAGCACCGGCUAACUACGUG
This 468-nucleotide ribosomal RNA is filed under the name uncultured bacterium. RNAcentral describes it as "partial 16S ribosomal RNA". It matches the Rfam family "Bacterial small subunit ribosomal RNA", at positions 28 to 507 of the family's 1533-position model. The record is from RNAcentral.